RNAcentral lists this ribosomal RNA (2509 nucleotides) under Acinetobacter baumannii. RNAcentral describes it as "partial 23S ribosomal RNA". It matches the Rfam family "Bacterial large subunit ribosomal RNA", at positions 451 to 2925 of the family's 2925-position model. Lineage: Bacteria; Pseudomonadati; Pseudomonadota; Gammaproteobacteria; Moraxellales; Moraxellaceae. The record is from RNAcentral.
GACCAUCCUCCAAGGCUAAAUACUCCUGACUGACCGAUAGUGAACCAGUACCGUGAGGGAAAGGCGAAAAGAACCCCUGUGAGGGGAGUGAAAUAGAUCCUGAAACCGCAUGCAUACAAGCAGUGGGAGCACCUUCGUGGUGUGACUGCGUACCUUUUGUAUAAUGGGUCAGCGACUUAUAUUCAGUAGCGAGGUUAACCGUAUAGGGGAGCCGUAGAGAAAUCGAGUCUUAAUAGGGCGUUUAGUUGCUGGGUAUAGACCCGAAACCAGGCGAUCUAUCCAUGAGCAGGUUGAAGGUUGGGUAACACUAACUGGAGGACCGAACCCACUGUCGUUGAAAAGCCAGGGGAUGACUUGUGGAUAGGGGUGAAAGGCUAAUCAAGCCUGGUGAUAGCUGGUUCUCCCCGAAAGCUAUUUAGGUAGCGCCUCGGACGAAUACCAUAGGGGGUAGAGCACUGUUUCGGCUAGGGGGUCAUCCCGACUUACCAAACCGAUGCAAACUCCGAAUACCUAUGAGUACUAUCCGGGAGACAGACUGCGGGUGCUAACGUCCGUAGUCAAGAGGAAAACAAUCCAGACCGCCAGCUAAGGCCCCAAAAUCAUAGUUAAGUGGGAAACGAUGUGGGAAGGCAUAGACAGCUAGGAGGUUGGCUUAGAAGCAGCCACCCUUUAAAGAAAGCGUAAUAGCUCACUAGUCGAGUCGGCCUGCGCGGAAGAUGUAACGGGGCUAAAACUAUGUGCCGAAGCUGCGGAUGUAUACUUUGUAUACGUGGUAGGGGAGCGUUCUGUAAGCCGAUGAAGGUGUGUUGAGAAGCAUGCUGGAGGUAUCAGAAGUGCGAAUGCUGACGUGAGUAACGACAAAACGGGUGAAAAACCCGUUCGCCGAAAGACCAAGGGUUCCAGUCCAACGUUAAUCGGGGCUGGGUGAGUCGACCCCUAAGGCGAGGCCGAAAGGCGUAGUCGAUGGGAAAAUGGUUAAUAUUCCAUUACUUCUGUGUAAUGCGAUGAGAGGACGGAGAAGGCUAAAUCAGCCUGGCGUUGGUUGUCCAGGUGAAAGGAUGUAGGCAUGUAUCUUAGGCAAAUCCGGGGUACUCUAUGCUGAGAUCUGAUAGCAAGCUGUACUUGUACAGCGAAGUGGUUGAUGCCAUGCUUCCAGGAAAAGUCUCUAAGCUUCAGUUACACAGGAAUCGUACCCGAAACCGACACAGGUGGUCAGGUCGAGUAGACCAAGGCGCUUGAGAGAACUCUGCUGAAGGAACUAGGCAAAAUGGUACCGUAACUUCGGGAGAAGGUACGCUGUUGUUGGUGAUGGAACUCGCUUCCUGAGCUGACGACAGCCGCAGAAACCAGGCCGCUGCAACUGUUUAUUAAAAACAUAGCACUCUGCAAACACGAAAGUGGACGUAUAGGGUGUGAUGCCUGCCCGGUGCUGGAAGGUUAAUUGAUGGGGUUAGCGUAAGCGAAGCUCUUGAUCGAAGCCCCAGUAAACGGCGGCCGUAACUAUAACGGUCCUAAGGUAGCGAAAUUCCUUGUCGGGUAAGUUCCGACCUGCACGAAUGGCAUAAUGAUGGCGGCGCUGUCUCCAGCAGAGGCUCAGUGAAAUCGAAAUCGCUGUGAAGAUGCAGUGUACCCGCGGCUAGACGGAAAGACCCCGUGAACCUUUACUGCAGCUUGACACUGAACUUUGACCUUACUUGUGUAGGAUAGGUGGGAGGCUUUGAAGCUGGAACGCUAGUUCCAGUGGAGCCGUCCUUGAAAUACCACCCUGGUAAUGUUGAGGUUCUAACUCUGUCCCGUGAUCCGGGACGAGGACCGUGUCUGGUGGGUAGUUUGACUGGGGCGGUCUCCUCCUAAAGAGUAACGGAGGAGUACGAAGGUGCGCUCAGCGUGGUCGGAAAUCACGCGUAGAGUAUAAAGGCAAAAGCGCGCUUAACUGCGAGACCCACAAGUCGAGCAGGUACGAAAGUAGGUCUUAGUGAUCCGGUGGUUCUGUAUGGAAGGGCCAUCGCUCAACGGAUAAAAGGUACUCUGGGGAUAACAGGCUGAUACCGCCCAAGAGUUCAUAUCGACGGCGGUGUUUGGCACCUCGAUGUCGGCUCAUCUCAUCCUGGGGCUGAAGCAGGUCCCAAGGGUAUGGCUGUUCGCCAUUUAAAGAGGUACGCGAGCUGGGUUUAGAACGUCGUGAGACAGUUCGGUCCCUAUCUACCGUGGGCGCUGGAAAUUUGAGAGGAUCUGCUCCUAGUACGAGAGGACCAGAGUGGACGAACCUCUGGUGUACCGGUUGUGACGCCAGUCGCAUCGCCGGGUAGCUAUGUUCGGAAGGGAUAACCGCUGAAAGCAUCUAAGCGGGAAGCCUACCUCAAGAUAAGAUUUCCCUAGGACUUUAUGUCCUCUAAAGAGCCGUUCGAGACUAGGACGUUGAUAGGUUGGAUGUGGAAGCAUAGUGAUAUGUGAAGCUGACCAAUACUAAUUGCUCGUGAGGCUUGACUAUACAACACCCAAGCAGUUG